GCAAAUAUAGUUUAAGAAAAACAUUAGAUUGUGAAUCUAAAUAUAGAAGUUUAAACCUUCUUAUGUGCC
This 69-nucleotide transfer RNA is filed under the name Monodelphis domestica (gray short-tailed opossum). It matches the Rfam family "tRNA". From Rfam's summary of the family: Transfer RNA (tRNA) molecules are approximately 80 nucleotides in length. Lineage: Eukaryota; Metazoa; Chordata; Mammalia; Didelphimorphia; Didelphidae. The record is from Rfam by way of RNAcentral.